UACGUAGGGUGCGAGCGUUAAUCGGAAUUACUGGGCGUAAAGCGUGCGCAGGCGGUUUUGUAAGCCAGAUGUGAAAUCCCCGGGCUUAACCUGGGAAUGGCAUUUGGGACUGCAAGGCUGGAGUGUGGCAGAGGAGACUGGAAUUCCCGGUGUAGCAGUGAAAUGCGUAGAUAUCGGGAGGAAUACCGAUGGCGAAGGCAGGUCUCUGGGCUGACACUGACGCUCAUGCACGAAAGCGUGGGAAGCAAACAGG
Molecule: ribosomal RNA, 253 nt
Filed under: uncultured bacterium
Lineage: Bacteria
Description: partial 16S ribosomal RNA
Rfam family: Bacterial small subunit ribosomal RNA
Source: RNAcentral